This is a small nucleolar RNA of Arachis stenosperma, 120 nucleotides long. RefSeq annotates it as small nucleolar RNA Z278. The record is from RefSeq and is a predicted model, not a curated record. The transcript has a single exon. Lineage: Eukaryota; Viridiplantae; Streptophyta; Magnoliopsida; Fabales; Fabaceae.
GCCGAUGAUGUUUUCAAUCCAACGUGUCUGAGGUUGUAGUGUACCCAAGUUCCUGUUUUUUCAGGGAGAACCUACUUGGUGUUGCUACAAGUCAAUGACAUCAAAGACUAAGACUGAGGU